RNAcentral lists this non-coding RNA (58 nucleotides) under Azorhizobium caulinodans ORS 571. Lineage: Bacteria; Pseudomonadati; Pseudomonadota; Alphaproteobacteria; Hyphomicrobiales; Xanthobacteraceae. The record is from RNAcentral.
CCCGCGUCUGGACCUGAUGCCGGUCCACUGAUGAGCCCAUGGCAGGGCGAAACGCGAG